This 69-nucleotide transfer RNA is filed under the name Marmota marmota marmota (Alpine marmot). It matches the Rfam family "tRNA". From Rfam's summary of the family: Transfer RNA (tRNA) molecules are approximately 80 nucleotides in length. Their secondary structure includes four short double-helical elements and three loops (D, anti-codon, and T loops). Further hydrogen bonds mediate the characteristic L-shaped molecular structure. tRNAs have two regions of fundamental functional importance: the anti-codon, which is responsible for specific mRNA codon recognition, and the 3' end, to which the tRNAs corresponding amino acid is attached (by aminoacyl-tRNA synthetases). tRNAs cope with the degeneracy of the genetic code in two manners: having more than one tRNA (with a specific anti-codon) for a particular amino acid; and 'wobble' base-pairing, i.e. permitting non-standard base-pairing at the 3rd anti-codon position. RNAcentral also lists the same sequence under 3 other names. The record is from Rfam by way of RNAcentral. Lineage: Eukaryota; Metazoa; Chordata; Mammalia; Rodentia; Sciuridae.
GGGGCUGUAGCUCAGUGGUAGAGCGCUUGCCUAGCAUGUGUGAGGCACUGGGUUUGAUUCUCAGCACCA